Molecule: small nucleolar RNA, 107 nt
Filed under: Gossypium hirsutum (cotton)
Lineage: Eukaryota; Viridiplantae; Streptophyta; Magnoliopsida; Malvales; Malvaceae
Description: Plant small nucleolar RNA R71
Rfam family: Plant small nucleolar RNA R71
About the family: R71 is a member of the C/D box family of snoRNAs containing the C (UGAUGA) and D (CUGA) box motifs. Multiple nearly identical copies of this snoRNA have been identified in Arabidopsis, and it is thought to function as a 2'-O-ribose methylation guide for 18S ribosomal RNA.
Source: Rfam by way of RNAcentral
AACCCAUGGUGAGGGCUCCUUCUCAAAAGAUCAUUGUAUCUCUCCCAUGCAUCAUAGAGUGUUUCUAGAUCCAUCCGCACAAAAGAAGAGAUGUUAGUCCUCAACUU